CGUGCCUUUAAUAACUAUGAUUACCGACAAAGAUUGAAAUUGAAGACAUAAUUUUUUCAAGAUAGAUAAGAAAGGAUGACCCAAUCUACAAUGAACUUCAAGAGGAGUUAAGGUACUGGAGCAAGCAAGAGAUCGCGAUUCACGUUUAUUAAGGAUGUAGAGACCACCUGAUUCAUGCCCUUUAUCAAUAAUCUUCUUCGUCGUAAGAUCCUGAAAUAAAUAAUGAUUAGGAAAAAUAGAAAUAUAACAAUUUAAGUUUCGAGUGAAUUUACUAAAAGAGAGUAAAUUAAAAGAGAAGCUAGGUAGACAUAAGACAAAUGACAAAGAUAUGAUGUUGUUGGAUUCAUAGUUCCAGAACCUAUAACACACGAAGUAGAUCCAUCAGCUAAAGUAACUGUGGAACGAGUAGUAAAAGACUAAAAAUCAGAUAAAAGAUCAGAAUUACCGGUCAUAUGAUCUGUAGCACCAAAAUCAAUGACCCAUUUGGACGAAGAGGACACAAGGCAUGUAGUGGAUUUAUCUGACUCAGCGAUAGCAGUAAUUGAGGAAUUGGUAGACUUUAGAUAUGUCUGAUACUGGGAGAACUGUUCAAAUUCUUCUGCAGACACUGAGAUAGUUUUCUCAGAGGAGGAAGACAUUGUAGAAUUUUCUACUACCAUAUUUGCCACCUAGGAUCACUGAUUUUUCUUCUGAAGUUUCAAACAGUUACAUUUUGUGCAUCCAGGCUCAUUGCAAUAAUAACAAAUGACUUCUCCUGAGUGAUUAUUAGAACUAGCAUCCCCAUUA
Molecule: unclassified non-coding RNA, 786 nt
Filed under: Hevea brasiliensis (rubber tree)
Lineage: Eukaryota; Viridiplantae; Streptophyta; Magnoliopsida; Malpighiales; Euphorbiaceae
Source: RNAcentral